GGAGCGGCUAGCACACCUAAUGGCAGACAGCGCCCCAGACUAAUGUCCAAGAGCACAAAAUUGAAUCCACAAAAUAUCUCCAUACUGCUCAUCUGUAGUGAUCCAAGUGUGCUGCAGCCCCGACAUAAAAAGUUGUUUCGAAAAAGUCAUAUGAACUCUGUUUUUAGCCUCACUGUAGUCUGUAGCUCUGACUGCUUCUCUGUGCUCCACGCUCACGCGUGCGCGCUUGUGCAAGACCAGCAAAAGCAUGACCUUUGCUCACCCGUGUUUACAUCACGUGACACAUGCACCGCAGGGGGAGACAGCAGUAACCACAGUAGCUAAAAGAUAAUUUGCACUACGGUCUUUUAGCAAAGGACAGCCCAACAUGUCUGAAGACUUUGAAAUUGAGGAGGAGCAGCAUUUCUUUGUUGAGCCGUAUUUGUUUGAGUCUGAGCAUACGCAUGGAACUCAGGCUACUGGACGAAGCAGCCGCCGCAGCUCAUGAGCCUCAGCCAGCCACAGAAUACCGGAGUCGAGCACUGGAAACCUGGUGGUGUAGUUGUUUCAAAUGCAAAGCAGUGCCAACGGAUGAGGAAAGUCUUUGCUGCUCAGACUGGGAAUUGGCGAUGCCUGCACUUGAGAAUCUGGACAUCAGUACUGACGAGACUGCUGCUCUUCAGAGACCGUGCAUCACCGAUCACCCUGACUUUCCAACACUACUGACCUGUGGUGUUCUGGAGACAUUUUUUUACUUCCCAAAGAUCAACUGGAAGAAAAGGUAGAGGCCUGCAGGACCAGAUGACAGGCUUUCAGAGGAGUAAGUCAUUCCGUUUCUACUGUAGUUCAGGUGGACAAUGGCAUUGGUCUCGGAUAUGUGGUUACUGUUGUCUCUCCCUGCGGUGCACGGGUAAGCAAAGCUCAUGCUUUUGCUGGUCUUGCGCAAGCACACACAAGUGAGCGGGGAGCACAGAGAAGCAGUCAGAGCUACAGGCUACAGUGAGGCUAAAAACAACUUUUUAUGUCAGAGCCUCAGCACACUUGGAUCGCUACGGAUGAGCGUGUUGGAGAUAUUUUGUGGUUUCAAUUUUGUGUUCUUGGACAUUAGUCUGGGGCGCCGUCUGCCAUUAGGUGUGCUAGCCACUCCCCCCUCGGAUCUCCGCAAGGAAUGUGAGGACUCUAAAACUUCACCUGAGCCUCCCUCGGCAUAUGGAUGGGAGGCCCCGGGGCAGACCCAGAACACGCUGGAGGGAUUGCAUAUCUCAUCUGGCCUGGGAACACCUUGGGGUCCCUGAGGAGGAGCUGGAAAGCAUCGCUGGUGAGAGGGAUGUCUGGGGUGCUUUGCUUGGUCUGCUGCCCCUGCGACCUGGAUAAGCAUCCUGAAAAUGAAUGGAUGACACAAUACAUGCUCCAACAUCCCACAAAGCCCUGCUCCUCUAAUAGGAAAUGCUACACACAGGCCCAGAGCCUGCCGCCAGCUGAGUUUCACUUGUAUAAUCCUCCAGACCAUGAACUCAUCUUAAGACCAAGUGGAUAAAAGUGAACAUGAGGAUGACCAUGCAUGAAUGCUGGGGCAGUUACACAGGACCCUUUGUCUGCAACAGAAAGCAGCACAUGAGGAAUUUGCACGAGCUCAGCGAGACCCAUUUGAAUGCAGUCUUGUGAGCAGUCUUGAACAUGUGAGACUUACAGUGAGGACGGCAGAGGAGAUACUUGCACACCAAUGUUUUGUAGAGAGCCACAAAAAGUUUCUCCUCUGCCGUCCUUUCUCGUUUGUCUAUCGCACAGACACACCCAAGUAGACGCAGUUUCACAGCAGCCCUCGGACCUACCUUGAGGACACUGACAAAACAAAUCAACAUUUAAAACUGACUUACUGAUCCUUUGUGAUCAAAAGGAGAAGAAGCCGCCUACAGGGAAACCACAAAGAACAUUUAACACGGUCCGUUCAUCAAAGGUUUAAGACUACAAAGGAGCUCAUUUGCUGACUGGGGAGAUGGAUGUGGAGAUAAAGUGGCUGAGGCGGAGACCCGAAUGAGAGAGGACAGCUACGGAAUGAAAGGGGGAGAGAAGGAGGAUGACAUGCAGCAAAGAGCCGUGGAUUAGAAUUGAGCCUACAGCCGCUGCAGCAAGGACACAGCCUUUGUACAUGGGCUGCUUUACGAGGCUUCCAUUAAUGAAGAUCUGACUCCCUUUCUGUUCUCUCUCUACCACAACUGUCAGCCUCAUCCCAGACGAGGAUGACAGAGAAUACAGAGCACUGAUCCAGGGCUGGAAUCCAGUUCAGUGCAGGAAAACCCAAAAAGCUGGUGGUCUUCGUGACGGCUGACAGUAGGAGACUUAACACACUGAUAGCUCUGUCCUGGGAUGCUCCCUCGACCUGGUGGAGGUGGUGGGAGAAAGGAGAAUGAAAGCCAAGCCAACCUCUGUUAUAGACAACAUGUCCUACCCCAUGCAGGACACUGACAGCACCGGGCAGCUCCUUCACUGACAGGAGAGAUAAAGCAGGUCCUUCCUUCCUGCUGCUGUCAGACGACGCAACCAACACUGCUCCCAGUGGACCACACACACUAAAACUGUGGACAAUCAGUCAUCACUCGUGCAAAAUCUGUAUCUGCAUAUACCAACUGUGAAUUAUCUAUACUUGGUGCAUGCAAUAAUGUAAAUACUGCCGCUGUCUGUUUAUCAUUAUAUGUUGCUUUUAAUUUGUGCUGCUUACAAUGAACCACUCAGGUGCAGAAUCAGUAUUGUUAAACUGUGCAAUAUCUAUAUUUCCAUCUGGUCAAUGAUGUAAAAUCAGCCACAGUCUGUCUCUUUAUUAUAUUCAGCUUCUUUCUGAUGCUUCCUUAUUAUAUUGCUUUGUGGUUUAUACUGUUUGCUGAUCACACUGCUCUGUUUUUGUACACUUUAUUUAUUUAACGUACUUAUAUACUGCUUUGUAUUUUUUUCUGAUGCUUCCUGUUUGCACUCUGUCCCUUUGCUGCAAAUUUCCCCGCUGUGGGAUGAAUUAAGGAUUAUUUUAUCUGAUUAUCUGUCUGAACAAAUCAUGCAGCACUCUUAUUGCAGCUUCAUUGAGAGGGGGCACAUGUCUCCCACCAUUUGUUCUCCCAUCCAUCCUCUCCACCCCUGCCCUUUAACAUCACACAUUACUUUAGCCUUUAAAUAAAUCAGACUGUACAACGCUUGUCAAGGUAGGGACGAGCUUGAUUUAUAUUUUCUGGAAAGCCAGUAUUUUUAAAUGAGAAGAUUUUCAUCUGAAGGCAACAGUUGAUUACAUUUAGUGGCUUUGUUUACACGCCUGCAGUAACACCAUAACUGCUGAGAGUCUGAGUAAGACUAAAUGUGCUAAUUAUCGUCUUACGUUUGACAUGUUGUCCUUGCAAGUUUUCCAACAAACUGACACACAAAACACAAGCUGCUGUAAUUAAACGCAUGAGCAACUUGCUCACAAUUAAAUUACUGUAAUUUGACCAGUCUUAACCUGUCUGCACGUUCGUCAGAGUGCGCCAGAUACUGGAGGUUACUGUGAUAACACUGAACUCCAGCUGAUGCAAUAAUCACAGUUGUAUAAUCAGUGUGAGGUUUAUGUGCGUCCUGCAAGCUGCUGGGAGAGGUUUGCCUACAGGGUUGCCAGGUUUGCCAGAAAGGGAUUUCUUGGUUAAGGUUAGGAAAAAAUUGUGGUUUGGGCUAAAAUGAACAAAUUUUUCUGGCAGAAAGCCCUCCAGGAAAACUUCUCCCAUGUGUAUCCUCCAACCACAUUUUUUCCCUUGUAACCUUGAUAAAAGUCCCAGUUUUACUCUCUUAAUGCAAUGUCACUCCACCCUCAUCUGUACUUUCUCUAAAUGCUUCGUCAGCUCCUGUUAGCAGCUGCUUUAUAGCUCUUGGCAUCGCUUCAGUUGCCAGGCAGUCUCUGUCUGUGAUGUAUAAAGCACCAAACGCACA
Epinephelus fuscoguttatus (brown-marbled grouper) is the source of this 3921-nucleotide long non-coding RNA. RefSeq lists it as uncharacterized. The record is from RefSeq and is a predicted model, not a curated record. Lineage: Eukaryota; Metazoa; Chordata; Actinopteri; Perciformes; Serranidae. The transcript has 10 exons.